This is a long non-coding RNA of Manis pentadactyla (Chinese pangolin), 1251 nucleotides long. RefSeq lists it as uncharacterized. The transcript has 3 exons. The record is from RefSeq and is a predicted model, not a curated record. Lineage: Eukaryota; Metazoa; Chordata; Mammalia; Pholidota; Manidae.
UUCCUCCUCUGUAACACGGGGACAGUGUUUCCCACAGAGAGGGGGCCCUGAGAAUCUGUGAUUAUAUAGUUAGUGCUAUAUUCAUCGUUCUUGUGUUCCCAGGGGCAGCAGUGCAGGGUUUCUGAGCGUGGAUCCCACCAUCCCUGGCUGGGCGAGCGCAUUCACACCAAUGAACGGAAGUGACCAGGCCCCUCCGGAGACUUUCAGUGUGGAGUCCCUCAUCCCGACCUUGCUGACCCUCAUACCUGCCCUGGGCAGGCUGGCAGGAAACGCGGUUGUGCUCUGGCUCCUGGGCUUCCGCCUGAGAAGGAACGCCUUCUCCGUUUACAUCCUCAACCUGGUGCAACCCCAGCUUUGUGCUCCCUGUGCUGACCUUCGCCUACCUCGCGAGCCUGAGCAUCCUCAGCGCCAUUAGCGUGGAGCGCUGCGUGUCAGUCCUGUGGCCCAUCUGGUACCGCUGCCACUGCCCCAGACACACGUGAGCUGUCAUAUGUGCCCUGCUCUGGGCCCUGUCCCUGCUGCUGAGCCUCCUGGAAGGGAAGUACUGUGGCCUCCUGUUUAGGGAUUUUGACCACGUUUAGUGUCAGGCUUUUGAUCUCAUCGCUGCAGCCUGACUGAUCAUAUUUGUGCUUCUCUCUGGGUGCAUCCUGGCCCUGCUGGUCAGGACCCUCUGUAGCUCCUCGCGGAUGCAGCUGGCCAGGUUCUCUGUGGUCAUCUUGCUGACAAGAUGGGCUGGUCUUCCCUCUACGACCUGCUCUCCAGCUUCCAAUAGUUUCCCCUCUAUUGGAUGUUGAAUGAUUAUGUGCCCGCAGUUGUCAUGAGAUGGAGUUCUUCAGGAGAAGUUGUCUCCCUUCACCGUGGAGCUGAAAGCACACCUGGUCCAGGAGUUGGAGACACUGAAGGAGUAUCCAAGGGAAGGGGGAGCAGCCGCAGGCCCAGACGGUGCCUCACGCAGAUGAGAUGAGCCGACAGAGAGGUAGUGACAUGCACGAGCACCCUGGCGCCCCUGCACCAGCCUUCCAUGUGUGAAAACAACGUGGCUGCGGCGCCGUUUCCAACCUCCAAGUUUUGUGCAGAAUGUCUCUCUAUGUCCACCCUAACCAGAAAUGUAAGGGAAAGGAAUUCUGGGAAGUGUAACUCAGCCUAGCCAAGUUUGCACUUUCAAACCCAUCACAUCUACCCUUUGUCAACUUGGCACCUAUGAACACUUCCUUAAAUCACAGUUAAUUUCAAAUAAAGACAAUAGCAAAG